Molecule: long non-coding RNA, 1126 nt
Filed under: Equus caballus (horse)
Lineage: Eukaryota; Metazoa; Chordata; Mammalia; Perissodactyla; Equidae
Description: lncRNA (ENSECAG00000044298.1)
Source: RNAcentral
AAGGCUCCUUGUUUUUUUUAUUUGAUCUAAAUUGAAGGAGCUUCUUUUCCUGGUAACCAGCAAUCCCUGGGCCCAAGUCACCAGAGAGGGCUGAGGCUGGCUGGUGGACUCCUCGCCCAGUGCUCGUCCCAUGGCACCACAACUCCUGCUUCCUCCCUUGGGGUGCUGGGGGGCAAGGAUUCAGGCAUCCUCAUCUCCCUGUGGCUGCGUGAUGCUGAAACACAGGAGGCCGUGAGAAGAGCAUAAGUGACAGCCAAGUCGGUGACAAGUUAAUUUCCCCAGUGAGGAUUUGAGCCCUCAUGGCCCAAACAGGCACAUGAUUUGCCUAAUUUUCCCUCAAGGGACAUGUCUUCCUCCUCAAGAAAGUCACUAAGGAGCUUCCCUCUCUCCCUUGUAAACAACCGUAGAUAAUGCCUUCCCCUGAUCCCCCCACAGCGCUGGCCUUUGGAUGCUCGGUUAACCUAAAUUGCCGACAGCUUCGCUGGAGUCCCCGGAGGCCUCGGCCGCCUGAGAGGCAGCCCUCCCAACCCCACUUCAGAUCUGAGCUCUCCAAGCGCCCGAGCAAACGGCGGGCAGAGGGGACCACAAACCUGAGGGCUCGCCGUCUAGGAAGGCUCCAUGCAGACAGAUGUGAGGCUUCCAGGACAGGCCGCUGGUUAGCACAGCAGCAGGCGCACAGCACACGUUUAUUCUUCUCACUCGGGCAUUCGGGCUCAGCCCUGUGUUUCAUCCCACCACUGACCCAUAUGGGUCAUAUGACCAUACGGGACUUUUGACGAGGGACUCAACCUCUCCCAGUCCAAGAUCCUUAGCCAUAAACAGGAAUGGGAUGAAGCAAGAUGACCGACGCGAAGGACCAGGAAGAAAGCCUGGUGAAUAUAGGUCUCCAACAACAGCUCUGAGGAUGAUGACGACUGAGGCAGAGACCCUGACCUACGAGAGCCUCUGUGGCUAGGGAGAAAAUGGGAACAAACGCAGCCACAGGAGAGCUUUCCCUCCCUGAUCCUCCAGUGCUCGCUGGAGAGAGUUCUGAGAAGAAAGGCCCAGGGCGCUGGCACAGACAAGAGAAAGCUUCAGAGGACAUUGAGUCUUGAAAUAAGAUCAAGAGGAAAGGAGGGAGGAACGG